Molecule: long non-coding RNA, 219 nt
Filed under: Vicia faba (fava bean)
Lineage: Eukaryota; Viridiplantae; Streptophyta; Magnoliopsida; Fabales; Fabaceae
Source: RNAcentral
AUGAGUGUAAGGGUCCACAAUAAAAAGUCAUUUUCACCUGCUCUCAACGAAUUCAAAGUAGCAGCAAUAAUCCCCCGCAGGAAGCACAACACCAUCAACUGCGUUACACAGUUCUACCCGCGACCACCCAUCCAAUCAUCAUGGCAUGUUUGUAAGCAAUAUGGUAUCUUUAGAAGUAUUAUGUCCAAUCACCAUUUGUACCCAUUGGUGCAACCUUGA